GGCUUUGUAGCUCAGUGGUAAGAGCAGGGCCUUCAUACGGCCAAGGUCACAGGUUCAAAUCCCGUCAAAGUCA
RNAcentral lists this transfer RNA (73 nucleotides) under Haramonas pauciplastida. Its description in RNAcentral is "tRNA-Met". It matches the Rfam family "tRNA". From Rfam's summary of the family: Transfer RNA (tRNA) molecules are approximately 80 nucleotides in length. Lineage: Eukaryota; Raphidophyceae. The record is from RNAcentral.